AGAGUUUGAUCCUGGCUCAGAACGAACGCUGGCGGCGUGCCUAACACAUGCAAGUCGAGCGAGAAAGUCUCCGCAAGGGGAUGAGUAAAGCGGCGCACGGGUGAGUAACACGUGGGUAACCUGCCUAGGAGUCCGGAACAACCUUCCGAAAGGAGGGCUAAUACCGGAUAAGACCACGGGGACUUUGGUCCCUGAGGUAAAAAGACAGCCUCUGCACGCAAGCUGUCACUUCUAGAGGGGCCCGCGGCCCAUCAGCUAGUUGGCGGGGUAACGGCCCACCAAGGCUACGACGGGUAGCUGGUCUGAGAGGACGAUCAGCCACACUGGAACUGAGACACGGUCCAGACUCCUACGGGAGGCAGCAGUGGGGAAUUUUGCGCAAUGGGCGAAAGCCUGACGCAGCAACGCCGCGUGAGUGAUGAAGGUCUUCGGAUCGUAAAGCUCUUUCGGCCGGGACGAAAACGGGUCGGUGAAUAGCCGGCUCCUUGACGGUACCGGAAGAAGAAGCACCGGCUAACUCUGUGCCAGCAGCCGAGGUAAUACAGAGGGUGCAAGCGUUGUUCGGAAUUAUUGGGCGUAAAGCGCGUGUAGGCGGCAGAGCAUGUCGGGUGUGAAAGCCCUCGGCUUAACCGAGGAAGUGCGCCCGAAACUGCUCAGCUCGAGUGCUGGAGAGGGUAGCGGAAUUCCCGGUGUAGAGGUGAAAUUCGUAGAUAUCGGGAGGAACACCAGUGGCGAAGGCGGCUACCUGGACGGACACUGACGCUGAGACGCGAAAGCGUGGGUAGCAAACAGGAUUAGAUACCCUGGUAGUCCACGCUGUAAACGAUGGGAACUAGGUGUGGCGGGUGUUGACCCCUGCCGUGCCGAAGCUAACGCAUUAAGUUCCCCGCCUGGGAAGUACGGCCGCAAGGUUAAAACUCAAAGGAAUUGACGG
RNAcentral lists this ribosomal RNA (934 nucleotides) under uncultured bacterium. RNAcentral's name for it is "bacterial SSU rRNA". It matches the Rfam family "Bacterial small subunit ribosomal RNA", at positions 8 to 916 of the family's 1533-position model. The record is from RNAcentral.